RNAcentral lists this ribosomal RNA (253 nucleotides) under uncultured bacterium. Its description in RNAcentral is "partial 16S ribosomal RNA". It matches the Rfam family "Bacterial small subunit ribosomal RNA", at positions 524 to 776 of the family's 1533-position model. The record is from RNAcentral.
UACGUAGGAUGCGAGCGUUGUCCGGAAUUAUUGGGCGUAAAGAGAACGUAGGCGGUUUCUUAAGUCUGGUCUUAAAGACCGGGGCUCAACCCCGGGAGUGGAUCGAAAACUGGGAGACUGGAGGACGGCAGAGGAAAGUGGAAUUCCGAGUGUAGCGGUGAAAUGCGUAGAUAUUCGGAGGAACACCAGUGGCGAAAGCGGCUUUCUGGGACGUUCCUGACGCUGAGGUUCGAAAGCUCGGGGAGCAAACAGG